Molecule: non-coding RNA, 2889 nt
Organism: Oryza sativa Japonica Group (Japanese rice)
Lineage: Eukaryota; Viridiplantae; Streptophyta; Magnoliopsida; Poales; Poaceae
Source: RefSeq, a predicted model, not a curated record
ACUAAACUCUAAGAUGCACUACUAUUCAUGAUAUUGGAUAUAUGUCACUGGAGUUUGGGGAAGUUGAAACCGUGCCACUCCGACGCGUUUUCCGUCAGACCCCUAGACAUGAGACCCCACAUGUCAGUUUCAUCCUCCCUCUUCUUUGUUUCCCAUGUGCAAUUGAGAUUAACUGAUAUUUUUGACGGAAAACACGACAGAGUGGCAUGGUUAUAAUUUCCCUAAAUUCCGAUAUCGUGAAUAGUAAUAGUAUUUAUCUAAGAUGGCAUAUUUGUAGUGACAUGGAUCCAUCUAAUAACCCUUAAAUUUAAGACUUAAAAAGCCCAUAACAAAUUUUGGCCUUCAAUAGCCCAUAACUAAUUUGGGCUUUGUAAGCCCAUCAUUGGUUUGCUUUGGUCCUUUCGGCCUACCUGGCCCAUGUGUAGAUAUGGGCUUGGUCGGCCCAUGAGAGGGAUUGUUGCUUCUGCUUCACUAGGUUGGACCUAGUUUGCUGCUGCCUGGGCGCGUCAGGGUCGCGCUCGCGCCGCCGCCGGCGUGGCCGCCGGAUCUCCGACGAGCGCCGCGGCGGAGAUCGACCUCCUCUUGCUCACGGUGAUCCUCUCGACGAAGACGACAAGCGUGGCUUUCCUUUCCUGACAGUGUCAGGUAUCAUCACUGUAUCAGUUGGAGAGGUUCUUGGCUCAAUCUCUUCUCCUCUCCUCCUUGCUUUGAUAAGCCGCGAUUCCCUGCUCCUGCUGUUAGAUUACAGUGAGAAACCUCAACUUUUUUUUUUGUUUUUUUGCUCUAGUGUGGUUUCAGAUCUGCAGGAGCUCUGUCAUUGUCACGCAGAAUUGUUCAUAGUUUCAGAAAUGUGGGAUCAUCUGGGUAGCAGCGAGAUAUUCCGGCCCGGACGAGCAGCUGCAAUGAUCGAGCCCAUCUGACUGCCACCGCCACUGAUGAUGUUGUCCCCUCAUUACACUGUACCUUCUAUAGUACUAAUGUGUGUGUGCACACGGUCGCGAUCAAUCAUCCCUCGAUACAGUCCGUAGAGGAUUCUAAUCUAUCGAGAGGAUGUCCGCCUCGACUCUCCUUGUAAUUGACAACGCGCCAUUGUCAUCAGGCUCCUUGCUGACAUGGCGCGUGGACUGGCGCCAGCGUGUCUGCCACCGAAGCCAUUGAGUGUGCCACGUAGGAUCAUUGCAUUCUUUGGUGAAAUCCUCCUGGCACAGUGUGAUGCUACUGCAGCAUGACUGAUUGCCUGGCUGCUCCUAGCUGUCUGGGUAAUUCUGAAGCAGCUUGGCCUGUUUGCUACGUGCCUGGUAUGUUGUUUUUGGGUGUCGCAUUUUCCUCGCACGGUUGGCUGCAGUGCAAGAAUUGUAAUGUUGUGGUGCCACUGCGAGGAAAAGAAGAGGAAAAAAGGAUGAACAGAAACGGUUAUGGAUUGUUCAAACUGACAGUGAUAGUUUUCAGACUUUCAGGUCCUUCUCCGGUUUGUGCUGUCGUUGGCAUCACCGUCCUUGCUGUCGUGUGGAUUGUACGAUGGUGAAAAUGGAAAGGAAUUACAGUGAUCUUCCAUGGUGAAAACGAAAACAGAAUUAUACACGGCAAUCUUCUGAAGGAAUCACGGUGUGAUCUUCACUUCUGAAUUCAGAGGCAAGAAACAAACAGGCUGCCACCGACAGGCUCAAGAACACUGUGCCACUGUCCAUUGGCAACACUGGUGACUGCUCAUUGCUCCAGUUGUGUUCAUGGUCCAUGCCAAUCAGAUCGAGGUGCUACGUUUCUUCUCAACUACUCUACUUCAUCUGCACCAAGUGGCGAUUGUUAGGACACUAUUAUGAGAGGAUUUAUGAGGGUGAGUGUUCUUUGCUGUUCAUCUCGAGAGCCUCCACACUGAAGCCUGAAUCCUUGCAAGCAGCUAGCACUGCACUUGUUCACUGAACUGUUACAACUGUCCGCCUUCAAGAAAGCCUGGAGCACUGGUCCUUGAUCAUGAGAUUGCUGAUGGCAUUCAGACGAGGGAGAUCUCUAGCUAUUGAACUGAUUAGAUAUCUGCAUUCAAUUCCAUCAAAUAUUGUGCAGGCUGUCGAAGCAAAUGCGGCACACUGUUGCUGCUACUGAAUCGGUUGCCACAUUAAUCUCUUCUUCUGACCAUCGGAUCACCAACAUUAAUCUCAUCUUCUGACCAUUGAUCUUACCUUAACUUCCGUUGUUUGAAUUCAAACUGUACUGCCUUCGUUCAAAAAGGAAUUCAAACUGUACUACUGUCAUAACAAUGACCGGCAAUUCGCUGAGAUGGAAGUCGCCGAGGUGAGCGUGCACUUUUUUUCUCGUUCUUUUAAGCAAUUAUGUAGUAACCUAGAUUCAGAUCAGCAGUUUACCAGAGUUAUUAUAUCUCCAGUUCCCAUCAUGAUUUGAGUAUGUGACUGCAUGUGCUGGUUAAUUACUACUACUUCGCACGGUACUACGACAAGCCGUGCUAUGCGCCUAUGUAUCCGCACAAACACCUUCUGGUCAUACCAAAGCCUCUUGUUAACCAACAGUAUUAAUUGUAAUUAUGGGCAUUCCUAGUACACAAUGAAUAAUUCAGUGGUACACAAUGGAAAAGCUGAAGCUAUAAAGAUGAACAAAAUGAUAUAAGCAUUUCAGUGGUCAGCAAGCACACAGUCUGGCCAGGUUAAAUCCUAGUUAGUGCUCUGCAUGAAAGAUGUUAGGCAAGGGAACAAGCAUGCCAUCCUACCUCAGAGAAAAGGAGGGGAGCAUGCCAUGAAGGAAUAGUUGCCAGCCAGCCAGCCAGCCAGCCAGCCAUUGUGACCAUGAAAAGAAGUGUAAACUUCCUAUUCUAAAGAACAAAGGAAUAGAAUGGCAAAUAGAGGCUAGGUGUGCACUAACAUCUAAGCCAUUGAUUUC